This 253-nucleotide ribosomal RNA is filed under the name uncultured bacterium. Its description in RNAcentral is "partial 16S ribosomal RNA". It matches the Rfam family "Bacterial small subunit ribosomal RNA", at positions 524 to 776 of the family's 1533-position model. The record is from RNAcentral.
UACGGAGGGUGCGAGCGUUGUCCGGAAUCAUUGGGCGUAAAGGGCGCGUAGGUGGCCCCUCAAGCGUGCGGUGAAAGUCAGGGGCUCAACCCCUGAUCGGCCGUGCGAACUGGGGAGCUUGAGCACUGUAGAGGCAGGCGGAAUUCCGGGUGUAGCGGUGGAAUGCGUAGAGAUCGGGAGGAACACCCGUGGCGAAAGCACCUGCCUGGGCUUCUAUUGACGCUAAGACUCGAAAGCUGGGGGAGCAAACAGG